ACAUCUACAAAGCUGGCCAUCUAUGGACUAAAACUUUUAUAUUGUAAAUAUUUAUCUUUUUUAUUUCUUUCCUUGUUUACAAGAAAAUAGAUGACUCGAGUGUUACAAACAAUUAGUUUUUAAGGAAUAAUGUGAAAUAAUUUUCAUAGGAUAAAAAACUUAAAAACAUUACUAGGCCUAGACACUAACUUAGGUAAGUCACCAACAAGAAGGUAAGAGAGCUGUAGCCUACCAGUAGAAUGGGGGUAUUGUAAUUAAUAUCCUCUGACAUUGGAGGAUACAGGGGAGAGUUGCCAGAGGAAGAGGAGAUGGAGGAUGGGGCGAAGUAAAGACGAAGAUUGAAGAGAACUAACUUAUGGCCUGAUGACAGGGUGGAUGGCGAUGGAGGCAUGGUGGUUGGGGGAGAGGAGGCUGAAGAAGUGGAGACAAAUCAGUUUAGAUUCAUUACGUUGAUUAGUUUAAUAUUUAUUUUGUACAUCAGUAUAGGCCUACUUUUAUUUACAUUUUUUUCUCAUAUAGAUUAUUAAAUUAAGAUAAUUUUAUUGUCUUUAUGAAAAUGUUUUCUUAAAUUUUUAAUAUUUGUUUGUACUUCUGCCUGUUAAAAAAAUAUACUGUUUAUUAAGUUUGUUAAAAUGAUUACUUUCACUAACUGACCUUGUCUUGGGUGAAAAGAGACAUCUUGAUUUUAUUUAACUAGCAGGGUGCCUGUUCUAUGGGCGGGGAUCGUAUAAGUCAGUUGAAACCUUCUUAUAUUUUGAUACUUAAUCAUUUACAACUUUAUAUAGUAUAGAUCGCUAUUCCUGUAUUGAUGUACUGAAAUGAAUAAAAUUAUAUGAAAUGAAA
Macrosteles quadrilineatus (aster leafhopper) is the source of this 843-nucleotide long non-coding RNA. RefSeq lists it as uncharacterized. The record is from RefSeq and is a predicted model, not a curated record. The transcript is spliced from 3 exons. NCBI's taxonomy places the organism in Eukaryota, Metazoa, Arthropoda, Insecta, Hemiptera, Cicadellidae.